AUAUGGUUUUAUAAAAUAAAUAUCUAAGUUUAAGUAUGUCAUUUACAAUGAUAAGAUGUUUUUAACUU
RNAcentral lists this transfer RNA (68 nucleotides) under Nipponaphis distychii. RNAcentral's name for it is "tRNA-Val". Lineage: Eukaryota; Metazoa; Arthropoda; Insecta; Hemiptera; Hormaphididae. The record is from RNAcentral.